RNAcentral lists this ribosomal RNA (467 nucleotides) under uncultured bacterium. Its description in RNAcentral is "partial 16S ribosomal RNA". It matches the Rfam family "Bacterial small subunit ribosomal RNA", at positions 28 to 507 of the family's 1533-position model. The record is from RNAcentral.
GACGAACGCUGGCGGCGUGCUUAACACAUGCAAGUCGAACGAUGACAACCGAGCUUGCCCGGUCUGAUGAGUGGCGAACGCGUGUGUAACACGUGAGCAACCUGCCCUUCACUCUGGGAUAACCCCGGGAAAUCGGGGCUCAUACCGGAUAUGAGCUCUUGUCGCACGUCGGGCGUUGGAAAGUUUUUCGGUGACAGAUGGGUUUGCAGCCUAUCAGUUUGUUGGUGAAGUAGGGGCAGACCACGGCGUUGGCGGGUAGCCGGCCCGAGCGGGCGGACGCGCACCAGGGGACUGCGGCACGGACCAGAAGCGAACCGGACGCAGUAGGGGGGAGUAUUGCACAAUGGGCGAGAGCCUGAUGCAGCGACGCUGCGUUAGUGAUGACGGCCUUCGGGUUGUAAACCACUUUGAGCAGGGAAGAAGCGAUAGUGACGGUACCUGCAGAAGAAGCGCCGGCUAACUACGUG